This 204-nucleotide non-coding RNA is filed under the name Manganibacter manganicus. The record is from RNAcentral. Lineage: Bacteria; Pseudomonadati; Pseudomonadota; Alphaproteobacteria; Hyphomicrobiales; Phyllobacteriaceae.
AACGUCUUUCUUGGAACUGGUUCCGCCUUUGGCGGACGAAGAGGGAAUACGGUGAGGCCGAGCGGCCGAAACCGUGACUGCCCCCGCAACUGUAACCGUUGAGUCACCUCCCAUCGAGCCACUGAGGCGCGCCGCGCACUCGGGAAGGCGGGAGAGAGGCAGCGACACGGAAGUCAGGAGACCUGCCGGUUUCAGUCACCCAUG